This 122-nucleotide non-coding RNA is filed under the name uncultured Mamiellales. Lineage: Eukaryota; Viridiplantae; Chlorophyta; Mamiellophyceae; Mamiellales. The record is from RNAcentral.
UGCCGAAUUCGAUCGCCAUAUUCCGUGUCCUGUUCUCGAGUGCAGGACAGAACCGAGCUUGGGUGACCUCUUCGCCCAUCUUGUCUCGGAACACCCUGAUCUACCGUCCGGUCUGCUCUGUC